This 470-nucleotide ribosomal RNA is filed under the name uncultured bacterium. RNAcentral's name for it is "bacterial SSU rRNA". It matches the Rfam family "Bacterial small subunit ribosomal RNA", at positions 28 to 499 of the family's 1533-position model. The record is from RNAcentral.
GAUGAACGCUGGCGGCGUGCUUAACACAUGCAAGUCGAGCGAAGCGCUAAAGCGGAUUUCUUCGGAUUGAAGUUUUAGUGACUGAGCGGCGGACGGGUAAGUAACGCGUGGGUAACCUGCCUCAUACAGGGGGAUAACAGUUGGAAACGGCUGMUAAUACCGCAUAAGCGCACAGUACCGCAUGGUACGGUGUGAAAAACUCCGGUGGUAUGAGAUGGACCCGCGUCUGAUUAGGUAGUUGGUGGGGUAACGGCCUACCAAGCCGACGAUCAGUAGCCGACCUGAGAGGGUGACCGGCCACAUUGGGACUGAGACACGGCCCAAACUCCUACGGGAGGCAGCAGUGGGGAAUAUUGCACAAUGGGGGAAACCSUGAUGCAGCGACGCCGCGUGAGCGAAGAAGUAUUUCGGUAUGUAAAGCUCUAUCAGCAGGGAAGAAAAUGACGGUACCKAAUWWKAGGCCCCCGYSU